Molecule: ribosomal RNA, 562 nt
Filed under: Spinomantis elegans (elegant Madagascar frog)
Lineage: Eukaryota; Metazoa; Chordata; Amphibia; Anura; Mantellidae
Description: partial 16S ribosomal RNA
Rfam family: Bacterial large subunit ribosomal RNA
Source: RNAcentral
CAAAAACAUCGCCUCUUGACAAAAUAUAAGAGGUCCAGCCUGCCCAGUGACAAAGUUCAACGGCCGCGGUACCCUAACCGCGCGAAGGUAGCAUAAUCACUUGUUCUUUAAAUGGGGACUAGUAUCAACGGCAUCACGAGGGUCUCACUGUCUCCUCUCUCCAAUCAAUGAAACUGAUCUCUCCGUGAAGAAGCGGGGAUUUAACUAUAAGACGAGAAGACCCCAUGGAGCUUUAAACCUAACUACACCCCCAUUUCUCACACCAACUCAACUAACGGGAUUCUGUAAAAUCGGUUUUAGGUUGGGGUGACCGCGGAGUACAAAUUAACCUCCACGAUGAACGGGACUAAUCCCUUAUCUAAGAGAAACAUCUCUAAGAACUAGCACACUAACAUCAAAUGAUCCGACAAUCGAUCAACGAAACAAGUUACCCUGGGGAUAACAGCGCAAUCCACUUCAAGAGCUCCUAUCGACAAGUGGGCUUACGACCUCGAUGUUGGAUCAGGGUAUCCUAGUGGUGCAGCAGCUACUAAAGGUUCGUUUGUUCAACGAUUAAAACCCU